GUGGGUUGCCUUUUCCUUCUCCAGAACCUGAUAAGAGAACCAAAUGGCCAGGUGCCCUGGGCUGGCACAGGGAGGCAGUGACCUUGGCUUUUGGCCUGCACAGUCAGCAGAGCCCGCCCACGUGCACUGGGUGCAGGGAGCAGAAAUCAGUGGCCAGACGGAAGCCUGGAAGGGAGGCGAGGCACACCCCCCACCCCUGCCUCCUGAGGGCCUGGGGCUGGCCCCACGCAGGGGUCCCUGUGCCCACUCUCCCCAAUGGCAAGGAGCUCCCUCCAAGGGGCCCGUAUAGUGAAAGAAGAGACUUCUCCUGGUCAGAUACAAAGAUUUACCCAGGAGAAGGCAUAGCUGGAGUCCUGGUCUGUCCCUGUCCAGUACGUGUGUGUGUCGUGUGCUCGGCAGCCCUGAGGCCCGAGGGAGGGCAGCCAUGUGCCAGGCGUGUGCCAGGGGGCCCCCGAGCCCAGAGCCGGUCUGGGAAGAGGCCCUGUAGCCCCUGGAGUGACAAGCAGAGCUUGUCUCUGUGGGUCACCAGAAACAGUGACGGGGGGGCGGUCUCCACUGGGCCAGGGCUGGGCCCCUCUCUCCCAACCUGUUCUCGGGCCCCCUGGCUGCCCCGGAGGGAAAAGCAGGGAGAAGGAAGCCGCUUGCUUCUUCCCUGGAACCUGAGUCACUCGGGUGUGGAACAGCUUCCAGAAGCUUUGGCCGGCCUCCGGCCUCACUCCCGUGCAGCCCUCUUGAGUCAGUCGGACCCUGUCCGCUGUCUAUGCCCUUGGCCCAGCAUUACACUACAUGGCCCAUUUGCCCCCUGCUGGGCGGGGCUGAUCGCCUGCGCCCCCAGGGAAGUGGCCCGUGUGUCUCAGGCCACACUGAAAGCCUGUUCCCUAUACCAGUUUCUCAUCCACGGACUUUGCUCGGGUGGCCGUGACAUAACACUUCAGAAGGUGCUUUCGGCGAAAAGAGGACGUGCCAGCCUGUGUGCAGAGCGGCCGGGGCAGCAGGCCUUCAGGUGCAGCUUGAUCCAGGUGUCAGUCUGCUGCACACGCUCUGUCCCUUUCUCAGCUUUACUUCCCACUCUUUGGCUCUGCUCUCGGGGCGUAUAUGGCCCAGGUGGCCGCCUGGGUUCAGGUCUCAGAGCAGGGGAAAGAAACCCAGUUCUCUCUCUCCUGAAAGCUCCAGAGAGUCACACUGGCUUCACUGACUGUCACUGGCUUACCCUUUAUUAUGAGUUGACUUGUGCCCCCUCAGAAAGGUAUGUUGAAACCCUAGCCCAGUACCUGCAGAUCUGACCUUAUUUGGAACUGGGUUUUUGCAGUCGAUAUGAUCAAGCUAAGAUGAGGUCAUCAGGGUGGGCCGCAGUCCAACCGCCUAAAGCGCAGGUGAGGGAGCCACAUGGAGAGGCCACAUGAGGGGCAGACACCCGGGACGCAGCGGCUGGGACUGCAGCUGCGCCCCUGCAGGCGGGGAGCGAGCCAGCCGCUGCAAGAGGCCAGGAAGGGAUCAGAGGUCCAGACAGAGGUGGCCCUGCUGACCCCACGGCUUCCGGCCCCAGCCUCCAGGACUGGGAGUCCUUCCCGGUUACUCCCAGCAGCCUGCUUUGUGGGCCUUUGUUUCGGCUGCCCCAAGGGAGCCGGUCCAUCCUGAGUCAGCAUACCGGAUGCCCGGCCAGAAGGUGGGAGGGGGGCGGCCCCCAGCAGGGGACAGGAGUGCACUGACCUGUGAGCAGGAGGCUGACCCAGACAUGGGCAGGACCCCGAGGGCGGAGCCGUGGAAGGGGCGCCGCAUCUCGAGUCUGGGGGUGGGGCUCAAGGUUACAGACGAGGUCACAGGCCAAAACUGUUACACGUCUCACACACCUACUUUGUGGCUCAAGUCUUACCGGUUAGACAACUACAGUUACAAAACUUCAGAGGCUUCUUCAGGCUUCGGAGAGCAGAGGACACCACUAGAGAGUCCAAAUCCACAUUUGUGUGAUUGGACAGUGAGGCCAGCAGGCCCCUGGCACGUCCAUGUGCCUCCAGGGAGCCCUGCUGCCCUGCGUCGGGGCUAGUCUCCACCAGGCUCCCACAGGCGGCCCUCUGCCUUGCUCUCUGAAUCCCCCCGCCUUCUCCUUCCCCCGUGGCCUGGCACCUGCUGCCCCUUGUGUGCCCACAUGCCCCUCGUUACCCUCCCUCCACCCUCUGGAAGGGGCCAGCAGGGGGCCACUGCCCACCACCUCAGCCUCGUGACACCGGACUCCCAUGAGGCCUGCGUGGCCAGACCCUGGGGUCCCGUGACGCCCUGGGCCUGAGACAGGAGGGGAGACCGCCCGCUGGAGGCGGGACAUGAGCCGCCCUUCAUCCCAAGAAAAUGCCAAGCGCUUGGGGGCCUUUCCUGGGGUCCAGAGCGCUGCCUGCUGAGAUGAUUUCAAACCGAGGUGCCCAUGUCACGGCCAAGCAGGAGCCGCACCGGCCCCCUGCAGGGGCCCAGCAGUGGCCCCCAGAGGCACAGCCAAGGCACAGCUCGGCAUCACAGUCCCUGAAGCGGGCGCUGCCCUUGGGGACGGGGUGGGUCUCAAGCCCGUAGCCCUGGUGCCCGAACUGCUGCGGCCCCAGCUUGGGGAGCGGGGGUCUGUGCAGGCAGAGGUGGCAGCACCCGGGCCCUCUCUGCCUCGCUCUGCACCCUGGCCCCAGAGGCUCCCCCCACAUGCAGUGGGCGUCCGGCCCGGCCAGGGCUGCCAGAUGGCCCUGGUGACUCCAGGCUCCACGUGCCGGUGGACCAGCAGGCACUCUGUCCAGCCGUCGACCUGACCGCCACAAAGAGUUUGGGGCGCCACUCAGAGGCCUUGGGUGUUUAGCAGUGACCCAGGCCCCCCGUGCGUGCACAGCCAGCUCACCCGCCCCCAGGUCCAGGCCUGAACCCUGGGCAGCGAGCGGCCAGCAGACGGGAGGUGGAAGGAGGAGGAGUCUCGGGGCCAGCUGGGGCCUCUCGAGGGCCUUUCUCUUUCUCUGGAAAUCACAGCAGCCCCGGCCCAGCUCUGGUCUUGAGUGGGCAGUGGGCAGCCUGCAUGUGGGGAGCGAGUGGACCUGAGCCAGCGAGCGGCCUCUUCCCACAGACCUCACCAUGAGGGGUCUCCUGGCCACUGGGGAUGCACAUGGCCCAUGCGCACAGACAUACUGCUCUCACCCAGAUCCCCGCCUCGGACUCUCUUCCCAGAAGCCCAGCCCAGGGCCCAGGUCUCCUCCUCACGUGGACACACAUGUGGACGCACAUGGCAGCCAGUGCGACACAGCCGUUCUCGAGGAAGAGCCUGUCGCUUUCUUUUUUUGUGUGUGUGUGUGUAAUAAAGC
This is a long non-coding RNA of Bos taurus (domestic cattle), 3323 nucleotides long. Lineage: Eukaryota; Metazoa; Chordata; Mammalia; Artiodactyla; Bovidae. The record is from Ensembl.